CCGGCGCACGGGUGCGCACCGCGUAUGGAACCUACCUUUUACAGGGGAAUAGCCCAGGGAAACUUGGAUUAAUGCCCCGUGGUACUAUUAUGUGGCAUCACAUUAUAGUUAAAGCCUUCGGGCGGUAGAAGAUGGCCAUGCGUCCCAUUAGUUUGUUGGUAAGGUAACGGCUUACCAAGACUACGAUGGGUAGGGGCCCUGAGAGGGGGAUCCCCCACACUGGUACUGAGACACGGACCAGACUCCUACGGGAGGCAGCAGUGAGGAAUAUUGGACAAUGGAGGAGACUCUGAUCCAGCCAUGCCGCGUGCAGGAAGAAUGCCCUAUGGGUAGUAAACUGCUUUUAUACAGGAAGAAAAAGGGGCACGUGUGCCCUACUGACGGUACUGUAAGAAUAAGGACCGGCUAACUCCGUGCCAGCAGCCGCGGUAAUACGGAGGGUCCGAGCGUUAUCCGGAAUUAUUGGGUUUAAAGGGUCCGUAGGCGGGCGAUUAAGUCAGUGGUGAAAGUCUGUAGCUCAACUAUAGAAUUGCCUUUGAUACUGAUUGUCUUGAGUUAUAGUGAAGUUGCCGGAAUAUGUAGUGUAGCGGUGAAAU
Molecule: ribosomal RNA, 596 nt
Filed under: Maribacter sp. I14B-00970
Lineage: Bacteria; Pseudomonadati; Bacteroidota; Flavobacteriia; Flavobacteriales; Flavobacteriaceae
Description: bacterial SSU rRNA
Rfam family: Bacterial small subunit ribosomal RNA
Source: RNAcentral